AACUGGGAUUAGAUACCCCACUAUGCUUAGCCUUAAACAUUGACAGUUUAUCACAUUUCCUGUCCGCCUGGGAACUACGAGCAUUAGCUUAAAACCCAAAGGACUUGGCGGUGCUUUAGACCCACCUAGAGGAGCCUGUUCUA
This 143-nucleotide ribosomal RNA is filed under the name Spondyliosoma cantharus (black seabream). Its description in RNAcentral is "partial small subunit ribosomal RNA". It matches the Rfam family "Bacterial small subunit ribosomal RNA", at positions 770 to 946 of the family's 1533-position model. Lineage: Eukaryota; Metazoa; Chordata; Actinopteri; Spariformes; Sparidae. The record is from RNAcentral.